Molecule: ribosomal RNA, 253 nt
Filed under: uncultured bacterium
Lineage: Bacteria
Description: partial 16S ribosomal RNA
Rfam family: Bacterial small subunit ribosomal RNA
Source: RNAcentral
UACGGAGGGGGCUAGCGUUGUUCGGAAUUACUGGGCGUAAAGCGCACGUAGGCGGAUUGGAAAGUUGGGGGUGAAAUCCCAGGGCUCAACCCUGGAACUGCCUUUAAAACUCCCAGUCUGGAGGUCGAGAGAGGUGAGUGGAAUUCCGAGUGUAGAGGUGAAAUUCGUAGAUAUUCGGAGGAACACCAGUGGCGAAGGCGGCUCACUGGCUCGAUACUGACGCUGAGGUGCGAAGGCUAGGGGAGCAAACAGG